AUGUUUGCAUUCCGAGAUGUACGAAACAACCAACUACGCAACUAUGUCUUUGAAUACUCUAGAGACAAACCAUGUAAGCUUAAGCCGGGUUCUUGUAAGCUUCAACCUCUAUUUAACCCGCAUCAAGGCAUCUACGCGGUUGGGCUUGUGCUAAUUGAAUAUCGUUUGCUAAUUAAAGACGAAGAAGGUGAAGACAAGGUGUUAAUAGACGGAUAUUCGGUCUAUGCUCCAUCUUUCUAUGCAGAAUAUGAAAGGCUCCAUUGGCACAUUAACACUGGCCAUCACGGCAGCAUCGAUCUAAGAAUGGCUUCUAUACCAAAGGCCGUGUUGGCUGUGUUGGAGUUUGAGGUGCAUCAUCUUGGGGACAAUUUGUUUGACUCACUUACAAUAACUGCGGUCUAUCGUACCAUGCAAGGGCGUGCUUUUUCAGUCUUCAAUGGCAAGUUGAGUGUUUGCAGGCUGCCACCGGUCACAGUUUGUGUGGAUUACACCAAGAAUUUGACUAUAGACUUGUACACGUACAACAGUCACUCAGGUGAUGAUAAUUGCUAUCCUGAUGGCGUUGUUGGUGAUUCAAAAAUUCCUGGAUAUUUUCAUUACGACAUUGAGGAUAUUAUGUCUAACACCGUGUGGUUUAAACCGCAGAAGAGUGGAAGCUCUACAAAAAAUUCAAGUAAUUUGUACAGUCUUGUAAUGUCAGUGAAGGUCACGUGGUCUAGCUUGUGUGAACCAUGUCAGUAA
Molecule: ribosomal RNA, 741 nt
Filed under: Triticum aestivum (bread wheat)
Lineage: Eukaryota; Viridiplantae; Streptophyta; Magnoliopsida; Poales; Poaceae
Description: partial small subunit ribosomal RNA
Source: RNAcentral